Molecule: long non-coding RNA, 401 nt
Organism: Vidua macroura (Pin-tailed whydah)
Lineage: Eukaryota; Metazoa; Chordata; Aves; Passeriformes; Viduidae
Exons: 2
Source: RefSeq, a predicted model, not a curated record
UGCGCCGGGAAAGCAGGCGGGGCCCGGGCCGGGCCUGCGCCUCCCCUGCCCCGGGGCGCGGCCUGGGCCUGUGCGGCCAAAGCCGCUGAGGGGCUGGGGCCGGCCCCGCUGCGAGCCACCAGCGUCAUUCCCUCUGCUUCCUUAGCCUCUGAGAGAGGUGUCUUUGGCCAGGAAGGCUGAAGGAAACUGGAAAACUUCUGAGCCAGACAGCGGUGUGAAGCAAGCAGAUGUGGGUCCAGACAGCAAGGACUGGCAUUUUGUUAUCAGAUGGAUAAACCUGGUUACUGUCCCAAAGGUGUGGAGACACAGCCACUCUGGACUGUUUUCCCCAUCUGCCUCCCACCUGAAACAAAGACUGUUUAACUCUUCUCACUUCUGUUCAUAAAUAGUCUCAGCAGACA